CCUACGGGAGGCAGCAGUGGGGAAUAUUGCACAAUGGGGGAAACCCUGAUGCAGCGACGCCGCGUGAGUGCAGAAGUAUUUCGGUAUGUACAGCUCUAUCAGCAGGGAAGAAGCAAGCCGGUACCUGACUAAGAAGCCCCGGCUAACUACGUGCCAGCAGCCGCGGUAAUACGGAGGGGGCAAGCGUUAGCCGGAUUUCCUGGGUGUAAAGGGAGCGUAGACGGUAUGGCAAGUCUGAAGUGAAAGCCCAGGGCUUAACCCUGGGGCUGCUUUGGAAACUGUUAGACCAGAGUGCUGUAGGGGUAAGUGGAAUUCCGAGUGUAGCGGUGAAAUGCGUAGAUAUUAGGAGGAACACCAGUGGCGAAGGCGGCUUACUGGACAGUAACUGACGUUGAGGCUCGAAAGCGUGGGGAGCAAACAGGAUUAGAUACCCGUGUAGUC
This 441-nucleotide ribosomal RNA is filed under the name uncultured bacterium. Its description in RNAcentral is "partial 16S ribosomal RNA". It matches the Rfam family "Bacterial small subunit ribosomal RNA", at positions 338 to 795 of the family's 1533-position model. The record is from RNAcentral.